Molecule: small nuclear RNA, 125 nt
Organism: Notechis scutatus (mainland tiger snake)
Lineage: Eukaryota; Metazoa; Chordata; Lepidosauria; Squamata; Elapidae
Source: Ensembl
CAGUUGUAUGAAAGGAGAGAAGGUUAGCACUCCCCUUGAUAAGGAUGGAAGAGGCCCUUCUGGUCUUUGCAACACACAUAUGGUUAAGGUGCUGCCACUUACAUUGUGGCUUCUAACCAGUUUAA